UAGAAGCAGCCAUCAUUUAAAGAGUGCGUAAUAGCUCACUAGUCGAGUGACACUGCGCCGAAAAUGUACCGGGGCUAAACAUAUUACCGAAGCUGUGGAUUGUCCUUUGGACAAUGGUAGGAGAGCGUUCUAAGGGCGUUGAAGCAUGAUCGUAAGGACAUGUGGAGCGCUUAGAAGUGAGAAUGCCGGUGUGAGUAGCGAAAGACGGGUGAGAAUCCCGUCCACCGAUUGACUAAGGUUUCCAGAGGAAGGCUCGUCCGCUCUGGGUUAGUCGGGUCCUAAGCUGAGGCCGACAGGCGUAGGCGAUGGAUAACAGGUUGAUAUUCCUGUACCACCUAUAAUCGUUUUAAUCGAUGGGGGGACGCAGUAGGAUAGGCGAAGCGUGCGAUUGGAUUGCACGUCUAAGCAGUAAGGCUGAGUAUUAGGCAAAUCCGGUACUCAUUAAGGCUGAGCUGUGAUGGGGAGAAGACAUUGUGUCUUCGAGUCGUUGAUUUCACACUGCCGAGAAAAGCCUCUAGAUAGAAAAUAGGUGCCCGUACCGCAAACCGACACAGGUAGUCAAGAUGAGAAUUCUAAGGUGAGCGAGCGAACUCUCGUUAAGGAACUCGGCAAAAUGACCCCGUAACUUCGGGAGAAGGGGUGCUCUUUAGGGUUAACGCCCAGAAGAGCCGCAGUGAAUAGGCCCAAGCGACUGUUUAUCAAAAACACAGGUCUCUGCUAAACCGUAAGGUGAUGUAUAGGGGCUGACGCCUGCCCGGUGCUGGAAGGUUAAGAGGAGUGGUUAGCUUCUGCGAAGCUACGAAUCGAAGCCCCAGUAAACGGCGGCCGUAACUAUAACGGUCCUAAGGUAGCGAAAUUCCUUGUCGGGUAAGUUCCGACCCGCACGAAAGGCGUAACGAUUUGGGCACUGUCUCAACGAGAGACUCGGUGAAAUCAUAGUACCUGUGAAGAUGCAGGUUACCCGCGACAGGACGGAAAGACCCCGUGGAGCUUUACUGUAGCCUGAUAUUGAAAUUCGGCACAGCUUGUACAGGAUAGGUAGGAGCCUUUGAAACGUGAGCGCUAGCUUACGUGGAGGCGCUGGUGGGAUACUACCCUAGCUGUGUUGGCUUUCUAACCCGCACCACUUAUCGUGGUGGGAGACAGUGUCAGGCGGGCAGUUUGACUGGGGCGGUCGCCUCCUAAAAGGUAACGGAGGCGCUCAAAGGUUCCCUCAGAAUGGUUGGAAAUCAUUCAUAGAGUGUAAAGGCAUAAGGGAGCUUGACUGCGAGACCUACAAGUCGAGCAGGGUCGAAAGACGGACUUAGUGAUCCGGUGGUUCCGCAUGGAAGGGCCAUCGCUCAACGGAUAAAAGCUACCCCGGGGAUAACAGGCUUAUCUCCCCCAAGAGUUCACAUCGACGGGGAGGUUUGGCACCUCGAUGUCGGCUCAUCGCAUCCUGGGGCUGUAGUCGGUCCCAAGGGUUGGGCUGUUCGCCCAUUAAAGCGGUACGCGAGCUGGGUUCAGAACGUCGUGAGACAGUUCGGUCCCUAUCCGUCGUGGGCGUAGGAAAUUUGAGAGGAGCUGUCCUUAGUACGAGAGGACCGGGAUGGACAUACCUCUGGUGUACCAGUUGUCGUGCCAACGGCAUAGCUGGGUAGCUAUGUGUGGACGGGAUAAGUGCUGAAAGCAUCUAAGCAUGAAGCCCCCCUCAAGAUGAGAUUUCCCAACUUCGGUUAUAAGAUCCCUCAAAGAUGAUGAGGUUAAUAGGUUCGAGGUGGAAGCAUGGUGACAUGUGGAGCUGACGAAUACUAA
RNAcentral lists this ribosomal RNA (1794 nucleotides) under Staphylococcus aureus. Its description in RNAcentral is "partial 23S ribosomal RNA". It matches the Rfam family "Bacterial large subunit ribosomal RNA", at positions 1107 to 2904 of the family's 2925-position model. Lineage: Bacteria; Bacillati; Bacillota; Bacilli; Caryophanales; Staphylococcaceae. The record is from RNAcentral.